This 88-nucleotide non-coding RNA is filed under the name Embleya scabrispora. RNAcentral describes it as "Streptomyces scabrisporus ZTP sequence". It matches the Rfam family "ZMP/ZTP riboswitch aptamer (pfl RNA motif)". Rfam says of the family: Previously known as pfl RNA. ZMP is also known as AICAR. Lineage: Bacteria; Bacillati; Actinomycetota; Actinomycetes; Kitasatosporales; Streptomycetaceae. The record is from Rfam by way of RNAcentral.
UGACCGUGCCGCGACUGGCGUACACGUGGAAUGACCACGGGGGAGCGGCGGUUCCGCCGACGAGGUGUCGUCCGCCUGGGCACCCGGC